Molecule: non-coding RNA, 65 nt
Organism: Dipodomys ordii (Ord's kangaroo rat)
Lineage: Eukaryota; Metazoa; Chordata; Mammalia; Rodentia; Heteromyidae
Source: Rfam
GGUGGCUCAGUGGUAGAGCGCUUGACUUGCAUGCCUGAGGCCCUGGGUUCGAUUCCCCAGCACCA